RNAcentral lists this ribosomal RNA (489 nucleotides) under Actinobacillus sp. 20. RNAcentral's name for it is "bacterial SSU rRNA". It matches the Rfam family "Bacterial small subunit ribosomal RNA", at positions 30 to 506 of the family's 1533-position model. The record is from RNAcentral. Lineage: Bacteria; Pseudomonadati; Pseudomonadota; Gammaproteobacteria; Pasteurellales; Pasteurellaceae.
AUUGAACGCUGGCGGCAGGCUUAACACAUGCAAGUCGAACGGUAGCACRAAGGAGCUUGCUCCUUGGGUGACGAGUGGCGGACGGGUGAGUAAUGCUUGGGAAUCUGGCUUAUGGAGGGGGAUAACUACGGGAAACUGUAGCUAAUACCGCGUAAUAUCUUAGGAUUAAAGUGUGGGACCGCAAGGCCACAUGCCAUGAGAUGAGCCCAAGUGGGAUUAGGUAGUUGGUGGGGUAAAGGCCUACCAAGCCGACGAUCUCUAGCUGGUCUGAGAGGAUGACCAGCCACACUGGAACUGAGACACGGUCCAGACUCCUACGGGAGGCAGCAGUGGGGAAUAUUGCACAAUGGGGGGAACCCUGAUGCAGCCAUGCCGCGUGAAUGAAGAAGGCCUUCGGGUUGUAAAGUUCUUUCGGUAGCGAGGAAGGUGGUUGUUUUAAUAGAACAAUCAAUUGACGUUAACUACAGAAGAAGCACCGGCUAACUCCGU